This 4564-nucleotide long non-coding RNA is filed under the name Marmota monax (woodchuck). The record is from RNAcentral. Lineage: Eukaryota; Metazoa; Chordata; Mammalia; Rodentia; Sciuridae.
UAAAUAUUUAUUUUUAUGUAGUGCUGAGGAUCAACCCAGUGCCUCAUGCAUGCAAGGCAAGUACUCUACCACUGAGCUACAACCCCAGCCCAAAUCCAACUUAUUUUUAAAAGUUGAAUUUAAACUUUGUUUACAUAAUCAGCUUUUUUGCUGCUGUGUCUAAAAGACCUAACCAACACUAUUGUAGAAGAGGAAGUUUAUUUGGGGGCUCACAGUUACAGAGAUCUUAGAAGACAGCCAGCUCCAUUCCUUGGGACUCCAGGUGAGGUGGAACAUAUGGAGGAAGAGUGUGGUGGAGGGAAAUGGCUCACAUGGCGAUCAGAAAGCAGAGAGAAGGAUCUCCACUUGCCAGAUACAAAUAUGAACCCCCAAAGCCACAUACCUAAUGCCCCACCUCCAGCUAAAUCCCACCUGCCUCCAGUUACCAUUCAGUUAAUCCCAUCAGAUAAUUGAUUCACUGAUUGGGUUAAGGCUCUCUCAUAUCCCAGUCAUUUAUUCUCUGAACCUUCUUGCAUUGUCUUACGUGAGCUUUUAGGAGACACCUCACAUCCAAACAAUAACAAACUUCAUCUCUGUGAAACCAAGUACUGAGUCAUCUUUUAAACUAUUCUAACAUUAAUCAUCUGGUCCCUUAUUUUGUCCUAUCUUCCAUUCCUUAAGUAAGGUUGCAACUCCAGGGUAAAGAUAGUAUGGACACAGUAAGGUGCUGUCCACAAAGUAAAUAUAGAAAGAAAGCUUUGACAAUGAACUAAGAAGUUCUGAAUUCAUUUUUCCCAUCUUAAAAACAAAAUUCCUCUUUGCCCCUUGUGUUCCCAAAGGAAUGCUGUUUUCAAGAUCAACAUUGAGAACGUACAUUGCUAAAUCCAACAAUCAUUUCUAGUUGUUAUGCUACUUGACCCAUGAGCAGUAUUUAACAGUUGAUGUAUUGCCUCCUCUUCCAAGCAUUUCUUUGCCAUGCUUCCAUGACAACCCCAUUUUUAUUUAUUUCUGACCUGAUAGGAGAUAGCCAUUCCUUCAGUCUCUUCAUACCCCCUAUCUCCAAACUGGAAUUCCCAAGGCUCAGUCCUCAGAUUUCUACCCAUACCCAUUCCUUAAGUGAUGUCAACUAAUCAGGUGACUUUAAAUAUCAUCUCUGUGCUUAUGACUACCAAUUCUAUAUAACCUGAAUCUUUUCCCCCAAAUUCAGCCUCACCUCCACCUGCUUACUUUAUCCCAUCUGAAUAGCUAAAGGACAUCUCAUGUGUAAGAAGCCUGAAUACAAACCCCUAAUAUUCCUAUUACUGUCCCCACAAAAACAGACAAAUAAAAGCUCCCACAGUCUUUCCCAUCUUAGCAAAUAGCAACUACAUAGUUUAGACAAAAGAUUGAAGGGUCAUUUUUAUGCCUUUUUUCACACACCCCCAUGCCUUGGGCUAAAUAGUCUUUCCAGCUUCCUUUUCACAGUGUAUCCAUAUUUAGCAACAUUUCAUUACCUCCAAUGUGAUCAUUUUGUUCCAAAACAGUAUCAACUGUUUUUUCUUGGAUUAAUGUCCAUAGCUGACAUACCUAACAGUUGGUUUGAUUUUUAAUUUUCCAUCUCCCUCCUUUACAAUGUGUAUUUCUAAGGACAAGAAUCUUUCUGUUUCAUUCUACUAUAGUAUCCCUGGCUGCUUUAACAAUGCUUCUCUCAGUUACCAUUUCCUGAAUUAGUGAAUUGAUGAAUGCUGUAAAACCAUUCCACUUACUAACCCCAGUUUUUGAAGCUGCUAGACAGCCCUGCAUUUGAUGAGACAUUUAGAAAAAAAAAAUUCUUUUGGGAUAUGGACAAAAGGCUAAAGAUAUAUUCUAUUUGGCUGUCAUAAAAAUAUAAUUUAAUAUAUAAUAUAACCCCAAUAAAGUGGGGUCUUUCUACUCAAUGGCAAAUGCCUGUCAUAGCAAAGCACCAGCCAUACCAGGUAGAGCAUAACUCGCCCUCACUAUGGUUCCUGACAUUUCCUUUUUUCUCACUUUCUAUUGGGGUCAAAUGUGAGGUGUCAUUUGUUAUUGUACUUCACUAAUUUUUUUCUUGUAGUAGUGAAUUAUUUCUUUGACUCAAUUAUCUGUUAAAGUAAGAAGAUGAAAAAGUAAAUCAAGAAAGCCAUGAGAGGUAGGGUUGUGGCUCACCUAGCACGUGAGGCCCUGGGUUCGAUCCUCAGCACCACAUACAUACAUACAUACAUACAUAAAUGUUUAAAAAUUAAAAAGAAAGCCAUGAAUUUAAAAGAGAGACUACAUUUGUGUGUGUGUGUGGGGGGGGAGGGGGGGUAAGUAAAAAGUUAUUGCUCUAUGCAACCAAUUCUUUGACAGGACAUCAUUGUGUCUCUUAGCAAAGUGCCUAUACAUAAAUAGUAGGUACUCAGAAUAUUUGUUGAAUGAAUGAAUAAAGUGUGUUUUCCUUCUGGGCAAGAUCACAAUAUAAAUAAAACAUGAUUCUUACAAUUAAAAAAAAAUUCUCCUGACAAAGGAAGGCCCAGGGCUGGAUGGUUUCUCCACUGUGUUCUACCUAAGUUUUAAAGAACACCAAUUCUUCUCAAAUAAUUCCAAAAAACUGAAAGGUAGGGAACUACCAUACUCAUUCUAGGAGGCAAGCAUUACCAUGACACCAAAACCAGAUGACAACAAAAAAGGAAAACUAUGACCAAUAUUCCUGAUGAACACAGACACAAAAAUUCUCAAAAAACUACUAGUAAAUCAAAUCCAACAGCAUAUCAAAAAGAUCAUUCACCAUGGUAUUUAUCCAAGGGAUGCAAGGAUUGGUCAAUAUAUACAUAUCAGUAAAGGUAAUAAAUAAUAUCAACAGAAUGAUGGAUAAAAGUCAUAUUUCAAAAGAUGCAGAAAAAGCAUUUGAUAAAAUUCAACACUUCUUCAUGAUAAAACCCUGACCAAAUUAUAUAUAUAUGAAAUACUUCAAAAUAUUAGCUACAAUUAGGCAAGAGAAAGAAAAAAAGGCAUACAAGCAGAAUAGGGGAGAAGUAAAAUUAUCACUGUUUGCAUAUAUGAUUAUAUAAUUGAAAAAUUAAGGACUCACUCCACCAAAAAAACUGGUAAACAAAUUUAGUAAACUUGCAGGAUGUAAAAUCAAGCUAUAAUUAGUAUCAUUUUUAUAUAAUAAUGAAUUGGCUGAGAAAGAAAUUAUUAAAUCCAACCUGAACACAAUAGCUAUUAAAUAAAUAAAUACCUAAGAAUAAACUUAACCAAGGAAAUGAUUCUUACAAUAAAAAUUACAAAACACUGAUGAAAGAAAUUGCACAUACACUUAUAAAGAAAAGACAUCUCACAUUCAUUUAUUAGAAGAAUACCAAAUGUCUACAUAACUCAAAGUGAUUUACAGAUUCAAUGCAAUUCUCAAAAUACCAAUGAUAUUCUUCAUAGAAGUAGCAAAAACAAUCCCAAGGUUCGUAUGAAAGCAAAAAAGACCCCCCCAAAUAGCCCAAAUAAUCUUAAGCAAAAAGAACUAAACUGGAGGCUGGCAAUUCUAGAUUUCAAGACAUUCUACAGAUCUACAGUGAUCAAAACUGCAUGGUACUGGUAAUAAAAAGUAGAUACAGUUCCUAGGAAUGAUAUAACUGGAUGGUUCUUGAGAACAUAUAUAAACUAAAAAAUUCUACAUUUAGUGGAAAGAAACCCAACUUUAUAGUGUCUAGAAAUUUGCCCAUUUAUUUUACAUUUUCCAACUUGUGAACAUAUGGUUGUCCAUAAAGGCCCAAUGAUCCUUUGUAUUCUUGUGUUAUCAAGUGUGAUAUCUGUUUUCAUCUCUGAUUUUAUUUGUUUAGGUCUUCUCUGUUUUUUCCUGGUUUGUCUAAGUUUUGGGUUGUCAAUUUUUGUUUAUCUUUUAAAAACCUAACUCAUUUGUUUAUUUGUAUCUUGACUUUCUUCAUUUCUGCUCUGAUCUUUUUUAUUGCUUUCACUAAUUUAGGGGUUGGUUUGCAUUUUUCUUGUUCCUUGAUUUGCAUCAUUAAGCUGUUUAUUUAUUUAUUUAUUCAAUAUAAGAGCUUAUUACCAAGAACUGCCCUCUUAGUACUGCUUUUGCUGUAUUCCAUAAGUUUUGGUAUGUUGUGUUUCCAUUUUCAUUUGUUUUAAGAAAUUUUCUAAUUUUUCUUUUAAUUUCCUUGAUGACUCAUUGAUUGUUCUACAACUUGUUGUUUAGUCUUCAUGUAUUUGUGUAAUUUCUUAAGUUUCUUUAGUUGUUGGUUUCUAGUUUUAUUUCAUUGUAUUCUAGAAAGAUACAUGCUAUGACUCAAGUAUUCAAAUUUGUUGAGACUGUUUUGUGGCCUAAAUACACAGUCUAUUCUAAGACUGUUCUUUGUGUUAAUGAGAAGGAUGUGUAUUUUACAGCUGUUGAAUCAAAUGUUUUGUAAAUGUUUAGGUCCAUUUGGUGUAUAGUAUUGUUUAACCCUGAAUUUCUGUAUUGAUUUAUUUUUGUCUGAAUGAACUGUUCAUUGAUGAAAGUGGGUUUUGAAGUCCCAUUAUUGUCGUAUUGAAGCCUUUCUCUCCCAUUUGAUCUAAUGUUUCCUUUAUAAAAUUUGGUGCUUCAUCAUUAGGUACA